GUGCUAGUUUUGACAGCACAUAUGCUAAAAUUGGAAUAUAUAUAUAGAAAAUUCGCAUGGCCCAUCCACAAAGAUGACAUGCAAAUUUGUGGAGCAUUCCAUAUUUUU
This 108-nucleotide small nuclear RNA is filed under the name Meriones unguiculatus (Mongolian gerbil). Lineage: Eukaryota; Metazoa; Chordata; Mammalia; Rodentia; Muridae. The record is from RNAcentral.